RNAcentral lists this long non-coding RNA (1560 nucleotides) under Homo sapiens (human). Its description in RNAcentral is "HSALNT0381015". The record is from RNAcentral. Lineage: Eukaryota; Metazoa; Chordata; Mammalia; Primates; Hominidae.
ACUGAAAAUGUGACUGAAGCAGAUACUGGAGCCCAGGCCAGCAGGGGCUUGAAACUAUAGAGCAAGGAAGGCAACUUCAGGUAUGAAAAGGGCAGUCAAGCACCAGAAAGGGUUAGACUGAUAUUGUGCCUGACCUGAUGGUGGAAAUAGGGCCUUUCUGAGUGGGUAGAUUUGACCUUGGUGUAAGAAAGAACUUAGUCACUUGGAAGGUAAUAAGCUUCCAUUCUUAGAAUUAUGCAAGGGGUUCCUGCCUGGAAGGUGCAGAGGAGACUCCUACACUGGGCAAGCGGGGGUGGCUCUGGAAACCUAAUGAUCUGUUCCAGUUUUGAGAGUCUGUUACUCUCCAUCCCACCAUGCCCCAGAUUCAGAAGACAGCUUGCUCACCCUGUCAGCUGCUGGAAGCAUGUGGGAGAGGCCUUCCGGAGGCCAGGCCCACCUUUGUUGCCUAAGAGGUAGGUGGCUCUGACGGUGGGAACUUUACUAGGCAGGGAGGAGGGAACAGGGAAGGGCCAGCCUGGCCUAGUGAGGGAAAUAUGUGAGGAAGGUGGGCCUGUGGGCACCCGUAGGUCAGGACCUGUGGGUGGCCAUCCACUCGGCCUUUCUCAGAACCAGCCCUGAAACUCAUCUCGUGGGGCAAGUCUGAUGCGAACAUGGAGUCUCUUGUCCUGGGUGGCUCUCACCUGCUAAUAGACACAUCCUCACAAAUGGACAAAUAAAUUGGAAAGAACUAACCGUAAGUGUACUUGGACCGCAAAGAACCUCAAGGUUGGCAUGGGCUGGAGAAGUCAGUGAAAGCUUUGUUCACUGAUGACAGAGACAUUUGAGCACCUCCUAAAUGCUAGGCACUGUGCUACAGGUUCCGAGUAUCAAAAUCAACAUGGUGCCUGCUCUUGGGAAGCUUCUAGUGAAGUAGCUUUGAAAGAAAAUAAUUUCUAACCAUCAACUGCGAUAAGAAUCAGGAAGGAAAGUAACAGGGUGCUACGAAAGACGGGAACGGAUUCUGAUUUGGGGAGACGUCAGGGAUGACCUCCCAGAGGAAGCAGCCUUGAAGCUGAAACCUGUAGGAAAAUCGGGGUUAGCUACAUGCGGGCUGUGGGGAGAGUCCCCCAGGCUGAAGGUACAGCAGUGCAAGGCGUUGAGGAGUGGAAAAGGCUGGCGUGUUCAGAAACUGAGCACCUGUGUCUGGGGCACGGUGAGGAAGGAGUGAUGAGGUCAGAGAGGCCUUGGAAGCCAUGGUCAAGAUUUGGGAUUUUAUCUUAAGAAACUGGAUGCCACCGAAGGGUAUUAAGCAAGGACAAAAAACCAAACACCGCAUGUUCUCACUCACAGGUGAGAACUGAACAAUGAGAACACUUGGACACAGGGUGGGGAACAUCACACACUGGGGCCUGUUGUGGGAUGGGGGGAGGGGGGAGGGAUAGCAUUAGGAGAUAUACCUAAUGCUAAAUGAUGAGUUAAUGAGUGCAGCACACCAACGUGGCACGUGUAUACAUAUGUAACAAACCUGCAUGUUGUGCACAUGUACCCUAAAACUUAAAGUAUAAUAAAAAAAAAAGAAAG